UGGGGAAUAUUGCACAAUGGGCGCAAGCCUGAUGCAGCCAUGCCGCGUGUAUGAAGAAGGCCUUCGGGUUGUAAAGUACUUUCAGCGGGGAGGAAGGGAGUAAAGUUAAUACCUUUGCUCAUUGACGUUACCCGCAGAAGAAGCACCGGCUAACUCCGUGCCAGCAGCCGCGGUAAUACGGAGGGUGCAAGCGUUAAUCGGAAUUACUGGGCGUAAAGCGCACGCAGGCGGUUUGUUAAGUCAGAUGUGAAAUCCCCGGGCUCAACCUGGGAAAUGCAUCUGAUACUGGCAAGCUUGAGUCUCGUAGAGGGGGGUAGAAUUCCAGGUGUAGCGGUGAAAUGCGUAGAGAUCUGGAGGAAUACCGGUGGCGAAGGCGGCCCCCUGGACGAAGACUGGCGCUCGGGUGCGAAAGCGUGGGGAGCAAACAGG
RNAcentral lists this ribosomal RNA (429 nucleotides) under Chloroflexota bacterium. RNAcentral describes it as "Chloroflexi bacterium partial 16S ribosomal RNA". It matches the Rfam family "Bacterial small subunit ribosomal RNA", at positions 355 to 776 of the family's 1533-position model. Lineage: Bacteria; Bacillati; Chloroflexota. The record is from RNAcentral.